Molecule: ribosomal RNA, 376 nt
Filed under: uncultured organism
Description: partial 16S ribosomal RNA
Rfam family: Bacterial small subunit ribosomal RNA
Source: RNAcentral
GUAGGUGGCAAGCGUUGUCCGGAAUUAUUGGGCGUAAAGCGCGCGCAGGCGGGGUCCUUUAAGUCUGAUGUGAAAAGCCCACGGGCUCAACCGUGGAGGGUCAUUGGAAACUGGGGGACUUGAGUACAGAAGAGGAAAGCGGAAUUCCAAGUGUAGCGGUGAAAUGCGUAGAGAUUUGGAGGAACACCAGUGGCGAGGGCGGCUUUCUGGUCUGUAACUGACGCUGAGGCGCGAAAGCGUGGGGAGCAAACAGGACUAGAUACCCUGGUAGUCCACGCCGUAAACGAUGAGUGCUAAGUGUUAGGGGGUUUCCGCCCCUUAGUGCUGCAGCUAACGCAUUAAGCACUCCGCCUGGGGAGUACGGCCGCAAAGGCUG